This 258-nucleotide small RNA is filed under the name Arabidopsis thaliana (thale cress). RNAcentral describes it as "ATSL293710". The record is from RNAcentral. Lineage: Eukaryota; Viridiplantae; Streptophyta; Magnoliopsida; Brassicales; Brassicaceae.
UAUACUUUUUUAGAUUUUUUAGUACUUAUCAAACUGAUUUUUUAUAUUGUGCAGUAUGGGAGAUUCGAGAGCUUCGUUUAGUCUCGCGACAAGAUUUGUUUGGUUUUUGCAAUGUAUUAUCAAAAACUCUCUUUUUCAUCUUGUUAUAUGUUAUGACUUAUGAGUUGAACAUUGUAUCUCUUUAUUUUUCAUGUGUAUUGUAUGUGGUAACUUUUUUCAAUCCAAUAUAAUUUUUGUGAAAAAAAAAGAGAAAAAAAA